AAAAAGUUUUAUUUUAGCUAAAAUAAUGGGUUUAUUCUUUAUUUACAUGUAAAUUUUAGUAAAUUUUUAUACAAUUUUAGAUAAUAUGUGUAAAAAAAUUAAUCGCAGUAUUUUAAAUUAAUUAUUAAGGAGACUUAGAAUUAGAAAUUUAUAAUAAUAUUAACAUAAUUUGUGCCAGCAGUUGCGGUUAUACAAAUAAUAUAAUUUAUUAUUUUUAAUAUGUAAUUAAUUUUAUUUAAUUAUUUAUAUAGUAUAGUUUAUUAGGUGAAAUUUUAUAUUAUACAUAAUUAUAAUUAAAGAUUUUGAAGUUAUUAAAUUUUAUAUAAAACUAGGAUUAGAUACCCUAUUAUAAAAAUGUAAAUUUCUAGAUUAAAUUAAUAAUAGUUAUAAUCUUAAAAGUUAAAAAAUUUGGCGGUAUUUUAAUCUAUUCAGAGGAAUCUGUCCUGUGAUUGAUACUCCACGAUUAAAUUUACUUAUUUUAAAAAUUUAUAUAUCGUCGUAGUUGAAUAUUUUAAAAGAAUUUUAAUAUUCUAAAAUUUUUAUAUAAAAGUAAAUCAGAUCAAGGUGUAGUUUAUAAAUAAGAAGAGAUGGAUUACAAUAAUUUUAUUUUUGGAUUUGUAGUUGAGAAUAAUAAUGAAAUUGGAUUUGAUAGUAAUUAAAUUUAUUUUAAUAUAAUGAUUUAAGCUCUAAAAUAUGUACAUAUCGCCCGUCGCUUUCAUUUAAGUUGAAAUAAGUCGUAACAUAGUAAAUGUACUGGAAAGUGUAUUUAGUUUGAU
RNAcentral lists this non-coding RNA (776 nucleotides) under Brundinia marina. The record is from RNAcentral. Lineage: Eukaryota; Metazoa; Arthropoda; Insecta; Coleoptera; Staphylinidae.